Molecule: unclassified non-coding RNA, 350 nt
Filed under: fungal sp.
Lineage: Eukaryota; Fungi
Description: partial internal transcribed spacer region
Rfam family: Eukaryotic small subunit ribosomal RNA (bases 1-46)
Source: RNAcentral
AAGUCGUAACAAGGUUUCCGUAGGUGAACCUGCGGAAGGAUCAUUAUUGAAUAUGCUUGAUAGGUUGUAGCUGGCUCUUCGGAGUAUGUGCACGCUUAUCUUGACUUUAUUCAUCCACCUGUGCACCUUUUGUAGUCUUGGGGGUUGAGAUCGGUCGACUAUCGGAUGGCCAAGGUCAUUCCGGAUGUGAGGAAUGCUGAGUGCGAAAGCAUACAGCUCUUCUCAAACGACUUGUCUUCCUCGAGUACUAUGUAUUCAUAUACCACAUAGUAUGUUGUAGAAUGUGAUCAAUGGGUCUAUGUACCUAUAAUAAUCAUAUACAACUUUCAGCAACGGAUCUCUUGGCUCUC